UUUUCUAUAGAACUAGUCUAUUUUCUGUUCAGACACAAAGUUUUCUGAUGCUGAUAUUAUGUCAGUGUGUGUUUGUGUGGGGGUCGUGUGAUGUAAUCUUUGAAAGUUUAUGACCGAACCUUUAUUGGGGAGUGACAAGAGAUCUCCGGCAUCAGUUUGGAUGGAGCAGAGCUGUUAUACUCAAGUCUAUUGCGAAAUUGUCUAAACUGGUAUUAACUAUUCCUGGUAAAUCGCGGAGAAGCGUGGAAUGAACAAAAAGUCAGACCGUGACUAGAACCAUCAGCAGCGUAACAAGGAAAUCUUGGAACAAAAGAGACGCCGAGUGGAGCGUGUUGUCCGGUUUGGAUAUCAACGGCAAAGCGAACGUUGUGUGUACUAUUGCAAAAAUAUAUACUGGAUCUCCACGGUUAGGAUACAGACCACAACACUUUGGACGUAUCUUUAAAAAAGAGAAAAAUCUGAGACUUUUUGGAUUUGUCUGGGACAUUUUAAACAUUUUGUGACAUAUUGGAUUUAAAACAUUUCGGAUACUGGAUACCUGUGUUGAUUUGUCCACAGAGCUGUUCGCUUUUAAAAAUCACAAGGGUAAGUGUCUAAAUACAUUUUUUUCAUCGCUCAUAUAAUCCGUUUUUUUACUCAUUUUGGCUUAGAGUUUUUCAUUGUUUUAAAUAUAUUGUUUUACUGAUAUUUUAAACUUGUGUUCUUGUUAUAUUUUUGGUUUAUUUUUCAUCGUUUAUAUAAUCCGUUUUUAUACUCAUUUUGGUUUAGAGUUUUUCAUUGUUUUAAAUAUAUUGCUUUACUGUUGUUUUAAACUUGUGUCCUUAAUACCUAUUGGUUUAUUUUUUUCAUCGUAAUCCGUUUUUAUACUCAUUUUGGUUUAGAGUUUUUUCAUUGAUUUAACUAUAUUGUUUUGUUUUUUUGGUUUAGUUUUAUUGUGUUUACAUUGUUUGAUUAUUUGUAUAUUUUGGGGUUUCACUGUGUUUCCGAAUAUUGUUGUAAAAUGGCCCAAAAACGUAAUUCGGACUCUGGUUGUAGUCAUGCGAAUAAAAUUAUAAGGCGCAAUGAAUCCCCGCUUGGUAUAUUUGAUUACGAAUUGGGAAUGCAAAUACUGAUAGAAACUGUCAGAGCUAUGAAUGGAAAUCAACGUAAUUCAGCCGAAUUCGCAGAAUUGAUAAGUAUGCUCGAUCCCAUUUCACAGCCCCCUCCAGAGCCGACUAUGGUCUUAGAUCCUGAUGUUUUAAAUAUGCAUCAAGUUUUUGAGGUUCCAGAAGCUGGAUUUAUCAAUAAUCAAAUUGAACCAGAGGCUCCAGUCGUUGAUCUAAACGACGGGGCAUCCGAGAAUUUACAUGUUCAACACGGUGGUGAGGGGUCGGCCGACCCCCACCACAAUUCUGAAAUGGCUGAUAUGGGUCUAACGUCCGAAGACGUUGAGAGGCUUGUGAGAGACGGGGGUGAAUUUAAUGGUUAUACCGUCGUUCCUCGUACAAGAUUUAACAGUGUGGAAAUACUUAGGAGUUUAAAUCUGAGGGCAAUAGCUUCUACAGAUAUGGCAUCGUACGUGCUAUUUUUGGAUGGUGUUCUGAAUGAAAU
Paramisgurnus dabryanus is the source of this 1590-nucleotide long non-coding RNA. RefSeq lists it as uncharacterized. The record is from RefSeq and is a predicted model, not a curated record. Lineage: Eukaryota; Metazoa; Chordata; Actinopteri; Cypriniformes; Cobitidae.